GUGUGUGUGUGUAUGUAUGUGUGUGUGUGUGUGUGUGUGUGUGUAUGUGUGUGUUUGUGUAUACACGUCUGCAUUUUUCAGGAGUGAGGAUAUUUGCAUAACAGGUAUCUUUGCAGAUACCAGACAAACAGGAAGUUUCAGAACCUAUGCCAUUUCCUUUCACUGUGAAUCAGCAGCCUCUUUCUUCUCAUACAGAAAUGAUGAAAUCACAGGGUAUGGCCCCGGAAUGUGAAGACCAGGAGAAGAGCACUAAGCCUUCAUAGUCACCUUCUUUGUAGUGCUCACUGGCCACUCCUCCAGGAGUAACUCCGGGACACAGUGGACAUACAGGCUCAGCACCAAGGUCUAGAGUCGGACAGCCUGACUUUUCAUCCAGGCUCUGCUCAGACAAGCUGUUUGAUCUCAGGAGCCCCAUAAAGCAAGAACUAUUAUGAGCCCAUUUCACAGAUGAGUAAGGGGAGACCUGGGACUUCGGCCCAGAUCCACUGCACCCAGGGCCUGUGAGCUUCCCCACUGCACCCUCUGGCCUCCCUUCUCAGCCCUGCUGCUUCUCACUCGUCUCCUGCCGGGAGAGACAAGGUCCAGGGGGAGGCAAGGUCCAUGGGGCUGAGGAACUCAUGGCCAGAGUGUGGGCGGCUGAAUCGGCCAAACUCCAGAAUGCAAACCCACCUGGCUUUCUGGGCAGGUCAGGAUUCUGGGGCUGGCAUCCCACUGCCUCCCUGUCAGUCAGUGCGGAUGCAUGGUAACUCUCCCGUUAGCACAAAUGAAAAAAUCAGGAUGACUUCUGAAGCUGUGUGACGGCUCUGGUUUAGCCACUCGAACUAUUAAAUUUAGGCUUUGGGGACUGAAGUUAGCAGAAAGUACAGAGUUCCUGUAUACUUCCUCCCUCCCCUCGUCAGUUUCCUCUAUUAUUAACACCUUGUAUUAGGGUGGUACAUUUGUUACAAUUGAUGAACCAAUAUUGAUACAUUAUUACUAACUAAAGUCCGUAGUUUACAUCAAGGUUCACU
This 1010-nucleotide long non-coding RNA is filed under the name Equus asinus (donkey). RNAcentral's name for it is "lncRNA (ENSEASG00005035503.1)". Lineage: Eukaryota; Metazoa; Chordata; Mammalia; Perissodactyla; Equidae. The record is from RNAcentral.